GACGAACGCUGGCGGCGUGCUUAACACAUGCAAGUCGAACGGAAAGGCCCUGCUUUUGUGGGGUGCUCGAGUGGCGAACGGGUGAGUAACACGUGAGUAACCUGCCCUUGACUUUGGGAUAACUUCAGGAAACUGGGGCUAAUACCGGAUAGGAGCUCCUGCUGCAUGGUGGGGGUUGGAAAGUUUCGGCGGUUGGGGAUGGACGCGCGGCUUAUCAGCUUGUUGGUGGGGUAGUGGCUUACCAAGGCUUUGACGGGUAGCCGGCCUGAGAGGGUGACCGGCCACAUGGGGACUGAGAUACGGCCCAGACGCCUACGGGAGGCAGCAGUGGGGAAUAUUGCACAAUGGGCGGAAGCCUGAUGAAGCAACGCCGCGUGCGGGAUGACGGCCUUCGGGUUGUAAACCGCUUUCGCCUGUGACGAAGCGUGAGUGACGGUAAUGGGUAAAGAAGCACCGGCUAACUACGUG
This 468-nucleotide ribosomal RNA is filed under the name uncultured bacterium. Its description in RNAcentral is "partial 16S ribosomal RNA". It matches the Rfam family "Bacterial small subunit ribosomal RNA", at positions 28 to 507 of the family's 1533-position model. The record is from RNAcentral.